GAUGAACGCUGGCGGCGUGCCUAAUACAUGCAAGUCGAGCGAACAGAUGAGAAGCUUGCUUCUCUGAUGUUAGCGGCGGACGGGUGAGUAACACGUGGGUAACCUACCUAUAAGACUGGGAUAACUCCGGGAAACCGGGGCUAAUACCGGAUAAUAUUUUGAACCGCAUGGUUCAAUAGUGAAAGACGGCUUCGGCUGUCACUGAUAGAUGGACCCGCGCCGUAUUAGCUAGUUGGUAAGGUAACGGCUUACCAAGGCGACGAUACGUAGCCGACCUGAGAGGGUGAUCGGCCACACUGGAACUGAGACACGGUCCAGACUCCUACGGGAGGCAGCAGUAGGGAAUCUUCCGCAAUGGGCGAAAGCCUGACGGAGCAACGCCGCGUGAGUGAUGAAGGUCUUCGGAUCGUAAAACUCUGUUGUUAGGGAAGAACAAAUUUGUUAGUAACUGAACAAGUCUUGACGGUACCUAACCAGAAAGCCACGGCUAACUACGUGCCAGCAGCCGCGGUAA
Molecule: ribosomal RNA, 514 nt
Filed under: uncultured bacterium
Lineage: Bacteria
Description: partial 16S ribosomal RNA
Rfam family: Bacterial small subunit ribosomal RNA
Source: RNAcentral